GAGUGUAUAGCUCAGUGGUAGAGCCCAUGCUUGGCACACACGAGGACCUGGGUUCAAUCCCCACUACCUCU
RNAcentral lists this transfer RNA (71 nucleotides) under Camelus bactrianus (Bactrian camel). It matches the Rfam family "tRNA". From Rfam's summary of the family: Transfer RNA (tRNA) molecules are approximately 80 nucleotides in length. Their secondary structure includes four short double-helical elements and three loops (D, anti-codon, and T loops). Lineage: Eukaryota; Metazoa; Chordata; Mammalia; Artiodactyla; Camelidae. RNAcentral also lists the same sequence under 1 other name. The record is from Rfam by way of RNAcentral.